CCUACGGGAGGCAGCAGUGGGGGAUAUUGCACAAUGGGGGGAACCCUGAUGCAGCGACGCCGCGUGGGUGAAGAAGCGCCUCGGCGCGUAAAGCCCUGUCAGCAGGGAAGAAAAUGACGGUACCUGAAGAAGAAGCCCCGGCUAACUACGUGCCAGCAGCCGCGGUAAUACGUAGGGGGCAAGCGUUAUCCGGAUGUACUGGGUGGAAAGGGGGCGCAGACGGCGAUGCAAGCCAGGAGUGAAAGCCCGGGGCCCAACCCCGGGACUGCUCUUGGAAAUGCGUGGCUGGAGUGCAGGAGGGGCAGGCGGAAUUCCUGGUGUAGCGGUGAAAUGCGUAGAUAUCAGGAGGAACACCGGUGGUGAAGGCGGCCUGCUGGACUGCAACUGACGUUGAGGCCCGAAAGCGUGGGGAGCAAACAGGAUUAGAUACCCUAGUAGUC
RNAcentral lists this ribosomal RNA (440 nucleotides) under uncultured bacterium. RNAcentral describes it as "partial 16S ribosomal RNA". It matches the Rfam family "Bacterial small subunit ribosomal RNA", at positions 338 to 795 of the family's 1533-position model. The record is from RNAcentral.